GCCAGGCACAGUGAUGCAUGCCUGUAAUCCCAGCUACUUAGGAGGCUGAGGCAGGAGGAUCACAAGUUCAAGGCCAGCCUAUACAAUUUAGCUAGACUCUGUCUCAA
This 107-nucleotide small RNA is filed under the name Marmota monax (woodchuck). The record is from RNAcentral. Lineage: Eukaryota; Metazoa; Chordata; Mammalia; Rodentia; Sciuridae.